UACGGGGGGGGCAAGCGGUGUUCGGAAUUACUGGGCGUAAAGGGCUCGUAGGCGGCCAACUAAGUCAGACGUGAAAUCCCUCGGCUUAACCGGGGAACUGCGUCUGAUACUGGAUGGCUUGAAUCCGGGAGAGGGAUGCGGAAUUCCAGGUGUAGCGGUGAAAUGCGUAGAUAUGUGGAGGAACACCGAUGGCGAAGGCAGCCCCCUGGGCCAAUACUGACGCUCAUGCACGAAAGCGUGGGGAGCAAACAGG
Molecule: ribosomal RNA, 253 nt
Filed under: uncultured bacterium
Lineage: Bacteria
Description: partial 16S ribosomal RNA
Rfam family: Bacterial small subunit ribosomal RNA
Source: RNAcentral